This 926-nucleotide ribosomal RNA is filed under the name uncultured bacterium. RNAcentral describes it as "bacterial SSU rRNA". It matches the Rfam family "Bacterial small subunit ribosomal RNA", at positions 1 to 917 of the family's 1533-position model. RNAcentral also lists the same sequence under 1 other name. The record is from RNAcentral.
UGGAUCCAGACUUUGAUCCAGGCUCAGGAUGAACGCUAGCUACAGGCUUAACACAUGCAAGUCGAGGGGAAACGACAUCGAAAGCUUGCUUUUGAUGGGCGUCGACCGGCGCACGGGUGAGUAACGCGUAUCCAACCUGCCCACCACUUGGGGAUAACCUUGCGAAAGUAAGACUAAUACCCAAUGACGUCUCUAGAAGACAUCUGAAGGAGAUUAAAGAUUUAUCGGUGAUGGAUGGGGAUGCGUCUGAUUAGCUUGUUGGCGGGGUAACGGCCCACCAAGGCGACGAUCAGUAGGGGUUCUGAGAGGAAGGUCCCCCACAUUGGAACUGAGACACGGUCCAAACUCCUACGGGAGGCAGCAGUGAGGAAUAUUGGUCAAUGGACGAGAGUCUGAACCAGCCAAGUAGCGUGCAGGAUGACGGCCCUAUGGGUUGUAAACUGCUUUUAUAAGGGAAUAAAGUGAGUCUCGUGAGACUUUUUGCAUGUACCUUAUGAAUAAGGACCGGCUAAUUCCGUGCCAGCAGCCGCGGUAAUACGGAAGGUCCGGGCGUUAUCCGGAUUUAUUGGGUUUAAAGGGAGCGUAGGCCGGAGAUUAAGCGUGUUGUGAAAUGUAGACGCUCAACGUCUGCACUGCAGCGCGAACUGGUUUCCUUGAGUACGCACAAAGUGGGCGGAAUUCGUGGUGUAGCGGUGAAAUGCUUAGAUAUCACGAAGAACUCCGAUUGCGAAGGCAGCUCACUGGAGCGCAACUGACGCUGAAGCUCGAAAGUGCGGGUAUCGAACAGGAUUAGAUACCCUGGUAGUCCGCACGGUAAACGAUGGAUGCCCGCUGUUGGUCUGAAUAGGUCAGCGGCCAAGCGAAAGCAUUAAGCAUCCCACCUGGGGAGUACGCCGGCAACGGUGCAACUCAAAUGAAUUGACGGA